CUGCUCUGUGAAACCAGCCUCA
This 22-nucleotide small nuclear RNA is filed under the name Arabidopsis thaliana (thale cress). Its description in RNAcentral is "snRNA_13715". The record is from RNAcentral. Lineage: Eukaryota; Viridiplantae; Streptophyta; Magnoliopsida; Brassicales; Brassicaceae.